UACGUGGGGGGCAAGCGUUGUUCGGAAUUACUGGGCGUAAAGCGCACGUAGGCGGAUUGUUAAGUCGGGGGUGAAAUCCUGGAGCUCAACUCCAGAAUUGCCUUCGAUACUGGCUUUCUAGAGGCUGGAAGAGGUUAGUGGAAUUCCCAGUGUAGAGGUGAAAUUCGUAGAUAUUGGGAAGAACACCAGUGGCGAAGGCGGCUCACUGGUCCAGAUCUGACGCUGAGGUGCGAAAGCGUGGGGAGCAAACAGG
RNAcentral lists this ribosomal RNA (253 nucleotides) under uncultured bacterium. Its description in RNAcentral is "partial 16S ribosomal RNA". It matches the Rfam family "Bacterial small subunit ribosomal RNA", at positions 524 to 776 of the family's 1533-position model. The record is from RNAcentral.